UGGAAAAUUGCUCUUUCAUAACAAGAUUCAGAAAAGCGGCAUUGAUUUCGUAUGAUUCCGCACUAGUGGCGGGAGCAAUCGGAGUACUAAUAAAAUCAUUAUUAUUAGUAUUCGAGAAGUCACAAAGUUUGGUGUUUUCAGUCAUGGUGACUUGAGCAAGCAAGCAAGCACACAAGCGAACGAAGAGCAAGCGAGAGAAAAGGGCGAACGAAAAAGGCAAACGAGAAAAGGA
This 232-nucleotide long non-coding RNA is filed under the name Hordeum vulgare. RNAcentral describes it as "long non-coding RNA (HVUL_LNC016303)". The record is from RNAcentral. Lineage: Eukaryota; Viridiplantae; Streptophyta; Magnoliopsida; Poales; Poaceae.